AUGACCCUUACUCCAACUACUUGCUACAGCAUGAGCACCCCGAACGAUGAGACGCCGCUGAUGGGGUCCAAUGGCAAGAUGCGGUAUAAAUCGCGUCGCAAAAACGCGACAACGCCUGGGGUCGACACGCGCCGGAGGUCACAGCGCCGCCCCAUCACACCCGCCGAAGCCGAAGCCCGCGCCGCCACCUUCUUUGCAGACGCCGCCGCCGCCUCCAGGGCGUGGGCCGAGAGGAAGGGCAGGGGGAAGGGGAAGGGGAAGCGGAAGGCGGCGGCGGCGGAGGAGAAGGAGGCGCCAGAGCCCCAACCUCUCCCGGCGCGCAUGGCGAGGCUGGGCCCGGGGCAGGGGUUGGGGUGCGAGGCGGCGGUGGGGUCGCUGGCGCCCAGCCGGAGCCGGGAGUACAAGCUCUGCAGCAAGCACACCGAGGGCAAGCGCCCGCUCUACGCCAUCGGCUUCAACUUCAUCGACGCCCGCUACUACGACGUCUUCGCCACCGUCGGCGGGAAUCGUGUGACGACGUACCGUGGCCUCCCCGACGGUAACUUGGCUGUUCUGCAAGCAUACAUUGAUGCGGACGAUGCUCAGUCAUUCUACACUCUGAGCUGGGCUUGUGACCUUGACGGCACACCACUGCUAGUGGCAGCAGGAAGCAAUGCGGUCAUUCGGGUCAUCAACUGUGCCACCGAGAAGUUGUUUAAGAGUUUUCUUGGCCAUGGUGAUUCAAUAAAUGAGAUAAGAACUCAACCAUUGAAGCCUUCGCUCUUCAUUUCUGCAAGCAAGGACGAGUCUGUUAGGCUAUGGAAUGUCCAUACAGGUAUCUGCAUCUUGAUUUUUGCUGGAGGAGGUGGUCACCGUAAUGAAGUAUUGAGUGUUGACUUCCACCCUUCUGAUAUCUACCGAAUUGCCAGUUGUGGCAUGGAUAAUACUGUUAAAAUCUGGUCAAUGAAAGAAUUUUGGCCAUACGUGGAGAAAUCCUUUACAUGGACUGACCUUCCAUCAAAAUUUCCAACAAAAUUUGUCCAAUUUCCGCUUAUGACUUCCGUGGUGCAUUCUAACUAUGUUGACUGUACUAGGUGGCUUGGUGACUUCAUCCUGUCGAAGAGUGUUGACAAUGAAAUUGUUCUGUGGGAGCCAAAAAUAAAAGAGCAGGGUCCUGGCGAGGGUAGCAUUGAUGUUCUUCAGAAGUACCCUGUGCCCGAUUGUGACAUUUGGUUUAUCAAAUUCUCAUGUGAUUUUCACUUCAAUCAAUUAGCAAUAGGCAACCGCGAAGGCAAAAUCUAUGUGUGGGAAGUGCAGGCGAGCCCUCCUGUGCUAAUUACCCGGCUGAGUAGUCCGCAAUGCAAAAUGCCAAUAAGGCAGACUGCAGUGUCGUUUGAUGGAAGCACGAUCCUUGCCUGCGGCGAGGAUGGCAGCAUAUACCGCUGGGACGAAGUGGAACAUCAAGCUGCGAAAAAUUGA
RNAcentral lists this ribosomal RNA (1458 nucleotides) under Triticum aestivum (bread wheat). RNAcentral describes it as "partial small subunit ribosomal RNA". Lineage: Eukaryota; Viridiplantae; Streptophyta; Magnoliopsida; Poales; Poaceae. The record is from RNAcentral.